ACAAAAGGGGAGCCAUGCGGCUGAGAGGAAACCGGUGUUUCGACCCUUAUAACCUGUUUGGGUAAUGCCAGCGUAGGGAGCAUAU
RNAcentral lists this non-coding RNA (85 nucleotides) under human gut metagenome. RNAcentral also lists the same sequence under 1 other name. The record is from RNAcentral.